CUGCACUAUGGAUGGGCUACUCGCCUACUCAUAUGUCCUCCGCCUCAGGAAAUGCUCCUCGGUUAUGAAUGCUCCUCCGCAGCGAACGCUCCCCCGCCUCUGAAUGCUACCUUUGAAGGUAAAUCGUAACACAAGUUUCGUAUGCUGACCCCCGGGGGGGUCCUUGCGGUACAAACCCGAUUGGUGUGAAAAAAAAAAACUACAAGGUCUCCGUUGGUGAACCAGCGGAGGGAUCAUUA
Molecule: ribosomal RNA, 239 nt
Filed under: Telimena protii
Lineage: Eukaryota; Fungi; Ascomycota; Sordariomycetes; Phyllachorales; Telimenaceae
Description: partial 18S ribosomal RNA
Source: RNAcentral